RNAcentral lists this long non-coding RNA (2927 nucleotides) under Aphidius gifuensis. RNAcentral describes it as "uncharacterized LOC122849196, transcript variant X1". The record is from RNAcentral. Lineage: Eukaryota; Metazoa; Arthropoda; Insecta; Hymenoptera; Braconidae.
UUUGCCACUUGAUAUAUUAUCAAAAUGUGAUUUUACUUUGACAGGUUGUUGUUUGUCUAACCUCAAAAAUGCAUAGAAACUCAGAUCUCUAUUUCUCCUGGAAUUACUGUUGCACCCAGAAACGUAAAGUCUUGUUUUUUAUUUUUUUUAAUCAAUUUUGCGGAAAAUUUUGUACCAGACCUUUUAAACAAUUUGUAAAAAUAUUAUUCGUUUAUUAAUUUAGCACAUAUACUGUGUAUACCACAUAUGAAUGGGUGUAUGAAAUAGUUUCCAGAAAUUUACCACCAGACGUCGUGGUGAAUUGUGCGUUUCCCAAUAGAAAUCUCAGCAAGUUCUUGCAGCAAGAUGUUGCACGAAAAAAUGGAACAUGUCCCAUUAGCUGCGAUAGUCUUGCAAGGCUUUUAAAGGCUUAUUUCCACCAAAAUUCUAGUAAUUAUCUAGUGAUGAAAGAUCUUGCAAGCAUUUCUAUACCGGGGAGACACCGCUUCAGCAAUCAAGAAGACUAGAAAUACAGGAGGACGAAGUCCCUAUCUCGCCUGCACUUAGAGAAGGAUAAGUUAACAGUUAACAUACCAAUAUGUUUACAUUAAACAUACAAAAGUUUAAUGUUAAGAUAUAUAUAUUAACAAUAAACAUAGAUAUCUUAACUGUUAACAUACGUAUGUUUACAGUUAACAUAUGUAUCUUUACGCGGCCAAAUAUUUUGAUGCGCCAGUCUACUUCUUGUCAUCUUUUUUUUUUGACAUUAUAUUGUGAUACUAUUCUAAUUGUAAUAUAAUAUAAUAUGUACUCGUGUUGUCAUAAAUUUAUUUAAAUUUAGUUUUUUUGUAAAUUCAUUCUUAAUUUUACAUUCAAUUUUCAUAUUUACAUACGUAAAUGUCUUCAACUAUCAGCCUAACCUUCAAAUUGUGUCAAUUACAGAUAUCUUAAUAGUUAACAUACGCAUAUUAACUAUUAAGAUACGUAUGUUUAAUGUUAAUAUAUAUAUCAUUGAUGUAAACUUAUCAGCCACCACCCAUUUUAACAUGGCAUAUGUUAACAUUAAACAGGAUAUGUUAACUGUUAACAUAUCCUUCUCUGUGUGUGUAUAUGGAAACCGUAUCGCUAUAUGAUCGCCGCAUAAUUGAGUAGCGCUGCAGUAUUCCGGUAACUAGAGUGGGUAUAAGCAGAGUGGAACCAUAGAUGAUUUUUACCUCGGAAGUGACGGAACCCCCUUAUACCCACUCCAUACGGUGAGCUCGGAAGCGACGAAAAGCUCUUAUACCCACUCCAUACGGCGAGCACAAAAUGUCGGACUAAUGGGACCUCGGUGGCUUCACUCUGCUUAUACACACUCUACCGGUAACUAGAGUAGGUAUAAGCAGAGUGAUGCCAAAGGCUAAAAGCAGCCCCAGCAUCUGUAUUCACGGGGCAAAAUUAUUCUCAUUAGGGCUUUUUUUUUCCGCUGUUGGCGCUUGACAAAUUUUUUUUUAUAUAGAUUUCACAUAGAAAAGCUUCACAAACGCCACCAUCGAAAAAAAAAACGCCCUAAUGAGAACAUCCUCUGAAUACGGGCACCCGUAUUCAGAGGAUGUUCUCAUUAGGGCUUUUUUUUCCGAUGGCGGCGCUUCAAAAACUUUUUGUCAGAGUUCUGUAUGAAUCGUAUUCUAUGACAAGAGAGCUCAUUUUCAUGCUGCCGAGCUAGGGUUCACAUCGAUGUAUAUAUACCUAUACUAUUUAGGACAAUGAUGACAAGAAGUAAAUUUUUUUAAAAAAUUUAUUUGAUAAAAAUACACGUUUAUUUUUUUUUAACACUUAUAAUAAAAAAAAUAUCUUGUUUAAAACCUAAAUUUUUCUAAAAACUGUUGCUCACUCAUAUAUUCAAUAGGAUCAGACAUAUUUCGAAUAUUAUUGUUUAACCUCAUAUUAAUUCAUCUUAAUCUCCCUGGAAUAUUCAUUUAGUCCUUCUCUAUUUCUAUUUUUGUCUGCAACAGUAACAACAAUCAACUUGAAAAUUUGACAGCUUUAUUUGUUUACAUUCUUAAUAGGGUUAUAGUGCUCAAAAUCAUCAAAACAUGUCGUAUAUACAUCGAUGUGAACCCCAGGAUAGCUAUUCUCGACAUAAUUAUCCCCUGUACCGGGGAUAACAUGAAAACGCUCGAAAGCGAUAUAGUCGUUUGAUGGAAACCAUUGAAAAAGAUACAAAUAAAGCCAUAAAUUAAGGUGAAUUUCCACAAAAUAGUUAUCCCAGUCGCCGGGGAUAACUGAAGGGAUAAUUAUGUCGAGAAUAGCUAUCCUACGGAAGCCCGGUCCGGCCAUUAUAAAAUAUUAUACAUGGUGCAGGAAGCGGGGUAAGGGGCAGUAACUUUAAGGCAGGUUUACAAAAAAGCAUCUUUAAUAUUUUCAUGUAAACACAAAAUAUAACCUGAUGUUAUUGUUUAUAUGUCAGUACAACUAACCUCAUAUUCUUGUUAUUAUUUAAUAAAAUAUAGAUAAAAUUUAUUUAUUAAAUUAAUUAAAAUAAAUAAACAAAAAUCUAGAGGUCAACAGAAUUAUAACAAUCACGAUGAAACCUUGGAUAUUUUUGCUGAUUGAUUAUUAAAAGAAGAAAUUGCUGAGAAGAUGUCAACAACACAUUCAAAAAUUCCAAUUACCAUUGACAGUCAGUUGAAAUUGAAAGACAUUGAAUGUAAAUUAUAUUUCGUAUUGUCAUCUGAUAAAAUUUGUAUGGGUGUUCUUGAUGUUGAGAUAUUGUUUUAUUAUAAAGAGUUGCAGUGUCAGGAUGAUAGUAAUUUGUCAUGUAAUAGUUGUGAUGUAAUUGGAGGUGUUUGGAUGACGAUGAAGCUUGUUGAUCUUGGACCUUACAAAAAGACAGAUCUACAAGCUUGGGGUAACAAAAGAAAUAAAAUAAUCAAAUAAUUACAAUAAACAGUAUUUAUUUGGUUUUU